UUUUAAAUGGCCGCAGUAUUUUGACUGUGCAAAGGUAGCAUAAUCAUUAGUUUUUUAAUUAAAAGCUUGUAUGAAAGGCUGGACGAGGUAAAAUCUGUCUCUAUUUAAAUUAUAGUAGAAUUUAACUUUUAAGUUAAAAGGCUUAAAUAUUAUUAAAAGACGAGAAGACCCUAUAGAUCUUUAUAGUUUAUUAAAUUAAAUUAAUUUAGAAAUAUUAAUGUUUUAUUUAGUUAAGUUAUUUUAUUGGGGUAAUAAAAAGAUUGAAUUAAUUCUUUUUUAUAAUAAACAUUAAUUUAUGAAUAUUAAUGAUCCAGUUUUACUGAUUAUAAGAUUAAGUUACCUUAGGGAUAACAGCGUAAUUUUUUUAGAGAGUUCAUAUCGAUAAAAAAGUUUGCGACCUCGAUGUUGGAUUAAAGAUUACUUUAGGUGUAGAAGCUUAAUAAUUUUGGUCUGUUCGACCAUUAAAUCUUUACAUGAUCUGAGUUCAGACCGGCGUAAGCCAGGUCGGUUUCUAUCUUUAAUAAAAUAAAAUAUUUUAGUACGAAAGGACCAAAUAUUUGAUAUAUUUAUAUUUAAUUUAUUGAAUAUUA
This 590-nucleotide ribosomal RNA is filed under the name Carabus lusitanicus helluo. RNAcentral describes it as "partial large subunit ribosomal RNA". It matches the Rfam family "Bacterial large subunit ribosomal RNA", at positions 1921 to 2748 of the family's 2925-position model. Lineage: Eukaryota; Metazoa; Arthropoda; Insecta; Coleoptera; Carabidae. The record is from RNAcentral.